AUACGCCUACGGGGGGCAGCAGUGAGGAAUAUUGGUCAAUGGGCGGGAGCCUGAACCAGCCAAGUCGCGUGAGGGAUGACGGCCCUAUGGGUUGUAACCCUCUUUUGCCGGGGAGCAAAGUGCCGCACGUGUGCGGUUUGGAGAGUACCCGGAGAAAAAGCAUCGGCUAACUCCGUGCCAGCAGCCGCGGUAAUACGGAGGAGGCGAGCGUUCUCCGGAUUUAUUGGGUUUAAAAGGUGCGUAGGCGGACGCUUAAG
This 257-nucleotide ribosomal RNA is filed under the name uncultured bacterium. Its description in RNAcentral is "partial 16S ribosomal RNA". It matches the Rfam family "Bacterial small subunit ribosomal RNA", at positions 333 to 587 of the family's 1533-position model. The record is from RNAcentral.